GAUGAACGCUAGCGACAGGCCUAACACAUGCAAGUCGAGGGGCAGCACGAAGUAAGCUUGCUUACUUUGGUGGCGACCGGCGCACGGGUGCGUAACAGGUGUGCAAUCUGUCCAUAAUCGGGGAACAGCCCAGCGAAAGUUGGAUUAAUGCUCCAUGUGAGUAAGAGAGGCAUCUCUUUUGUUUGAAACGUAAGGAUUAUGGGUGAGCACGCUUCUGAUUAGGUAGUUGGUGAGGUAACGGCUCACCAAGCCGACGAUCAGUGGCCGGACUGAGAGGUUGAACGGCCACAUUGGGACUGAGACACGGCCCAG
RNAcentral lists this ribosomal RNA (312 nucleotides) under uncultured bacterium. Its description in RNAcentral is "bacterial SSU rRNA". It matches the Rfam family "Bacterial small subunit ribosomal RNA", at positions 28 to 334 of the family's 1533-position model. The record is from RNAcentral.